RNAcentral lists this ribosomal RNA (1540 nucleotides) under Enterobacter sichuanensis. RNAcentral describes it as "bacterial SSU rRNA". It matches the Rfam family "Bacterial small subunit ribosomal RNA". Lineage: Bacteria; Pseudomonadati; Pseudomonadota; Gammaproteobacteria; Enterobacterales; Enterobacteriaceae. The record is from RNAcentral.
AAAUUGAAGAGUUUGAUCAUGGCUCAGAUUGAACGCUGGCGGCAGGCCUAACACAUGCAAGUCGAACGGUAGCACAGAGAGCUUGCUCUCGGGUGACGAGUGGCGGACGGGUGAGUAAUGUCUGGGAAACUGCCUGAUGGAGGGGGAUAACUACUGGAAACGGUAGCUAAUACCGCAUAACGUCGCAAGACCAAAGAGGGGGACCUUCGGGCCUCUUGCCAUCAGAUGUGCCCAGAUGGGAUUAGCUAGUAGGUGGGGUAACGGCUCACCUAGGCGACGAUCCCUAGCUGGUCUGAGAGGAUGACCAGCCACACUGGAACUGAGACACGGUCCAGACUCCUACGGGAGGCAGCAGUGGGGAAUAUUGCACAAUGGGCGCAAGCCUGAUGCAGCCAUGCCGCGUGUAUGAAGAAGGCCUUCGGGUUGUAAAGUACUUUCAGCGGGGAGGAAGGUGUUGAGGUUAAUAACCUCAGCAAUUGACGUUACCCGCAGAAGAAGCACCGGCUAACUCCGUGCCAGCAGCCGCGGUAAUACGGAGGGUGCAAGCGUUAAUCGGAAUUACUGGGCGUAAAGCGCACGCAGGCGGUCUGUCAAGUCGGAUGUGAAAUCCCCGGGCUCAACCUGGGAACUGCAUUCGAAACUGGCAGGCUAGAGUCUUGUAGAGGGGGGUAGAAUUCCAGGUGUAGCGGUGAAAUGCGUAGAGAUCUGGAGGAAUACCGGUGGCGAAGGCGGCCCCCUGGACAAAGACUGACGCUCAGGUGCGAAAGCGUGGGGAGCAAACAGGAUUAGAUACCCUGGUAGUCCACGCCGUAAACGAUGUCGACUUGGAGGUUGUGCCCUUGAGGCGUGGCUUCCGGAGCUAACGCGUUAAGUCGACCGCCUGGGGAGUACGGCCGCAAGGUUAAAACUCAAAUGAAUUGACGGGGGCCCGCACAAGCGGUGGAGCAUGUGGUUUAAUUCGAUGCAACGCGAAGAACCUUACCUACUCUUGACAUCCAGAGAACUUUCCAGAGAUGGAUUGGUGCCUUCGGGAACUCUGAGACAGGUGCUGCAUGGCUGUCGUCAGCUCGUGUUGUGAAAUGUUGGGUUAAGUCCCGCAACGAGCGCAACCCUUAUCCUUUGUUGCCAGCGGUUAGGCCGGGAACUCAAAGGAGACUGCCAGUGAUAAACUGGAGGAAGGUGGGGAUGACGUCAAGUCAUCAUGGCCCUUACGAGUAGGGCUACACACGUGCUACAAUGGCGCAUACAAAGAGAAGCGACCUCGCGAGAGCAAGCGGACCUCAUAAAGUGCGUCGUAGUCCGGAUUGGAGUCUGCAACUCGACUCCAUGAAGUCGGAAUCGCUAGUAAUCGUAGAUCAGAAUGCUACGGUGAAUACGUUCCCGGGCCUUGUACACACCGCCCGUCACACCAUGGGAGUGGGUUGCAAAAGAAGUAGGUAGCUUAACCUUCGGGAGGGCGCUUACCACUUUGUGAUUCAUGACUGGGGUGAAGUCGUAACAAGGUAACCGUAGGGGAACCUGCGGUUGGAUCACCUCCUUA